Molecule: unclassified non-coding RNA, 181 nt
Filed under: Rhizophagus prolifer
Lineage: Eukaryota; Fungi; Glomeromycota; Glomeromycetes; Glomerales; Glomeraceae
Description: partial internal transcribed spacer region
Rfam family: Eukaryotic small subunit ribosomal RNA (bases 1-46)
Source: RNAcentral
AAGUCGUAACAAGGUUUCCGUAGGUGAACCUGCGGAAGGAUCAUUACCAAUUUUAGCGAGCCUGGUCUUGUUGACCAUGGUUUCGUGAAAAUCGUAUUUAAAACCCCACUCUUAAUAAAAUUGAAUCAUUUAUUUGUAUAAUAAAUAAAGAUCACUUUCAACAACGGAUCUCUUGGCUCUC